Molecule: ribosomal RNA, 497 nt
Filed under: uncultured bacterium
Lineage: Bacteria
Description: partial 16S ribosomal RNA
Rfam family: Bacterial small subunit ribosomal RNA
Source: RNAcentral
GAUGAACGCUGGCGGCGUGCCUAAUACAUGCAAGUCGAGCGAACAGAUAAGGAGCUUGCUCCUUUGACGUUAGCGGCGGACGGGUGAGUAACACGUUGGUAACCUACCUAUAAGACUGGAAUAACUCCGGGAAACCGGGGCUAAUGCCGGAUAACAUUUAGAACCGCAUGGUUCUAAAGUGAAAGAUGGUUUUGCUAUCACUUAUAGAUGGACCCGCGCCGUAUUAGCUAGUUGGUAAGGUAACGGCUUACCAAGGCAACGAUACGUAGCCGACCUGAGAGGGUGAUCGGCCACACUGGAACUGAGACACGGUCCAGACUCCUACGGGAGGCAGCAGUAGGGAAUCUUCCGCAAUGGGCGAAAGCCUGACGGAGCAACGCCGCGUGAGUGAUGAAGGUCUUCGGAUCGUAAAACUCUGUUAUUAGGGAAGAACAAAUGUGUAAGUAACUGUGCACGUCUUGACGGUACCUAAUCAGAAAGCCACGGCUAACUACGUG